GGGAGGGGCGGAGGAAGGGGUGCGGUCGCCGUCGCCCGCCGGGAGUAAACGCGCAGCCCCAGCGUGUGAGCACACACCUUCGCUCCCGGUUCUUCCGCGUACGGGUUCCCGCGGCGGCGUUUUAGGGUUAGUGUGAUUUCAACUCAAGGCAAGGUGGGAUAUCAUGGCCUCCAUCUGGGUUGGACAUCGAGGGACAAUUAGAGAUUAUCCAGGUUUUAGCCCAUCAGCGGAUGCUGAAGCUAUUCACAAGGCAAUCAGAGGAAUUGGAACUGAUGAGAAAGUGCUCAUCAGCAUUCUGACAGAGAGGUCGAACACACAGCGGCAGCUGAUUGUUAAGGAAUAUCAAGCAGCAUAUGGAAAGGAGUUGAAAGAUGACUUGAAGGGUGAUCUCUCUGGCAACUUUAAGCGUGCCAUGGUGGCCCUUGUGACUCCACCGGCAGUGUUUGAUGCGAAGCAGCUACAAAAAUCCAUGAAGGGAGCUGGAACAAAUGAAGAUGCAUUGAUUGAAAUUCUAACCACCAGGACAGGCAGGCAGAUGAAGGAGAUCGCCCAAGCCUACUCUACAGUAUAUAAGAAGAGUCUUAGAGAUGACGUUUGCUCUGAAGCAUCUGGUGACUUCCGGAAAGCUCUGCUGACUUUGGCUGAAGGUAGAAGAGAUGAGAGUCUGAAAGUCGAUGAACAUCUGGCUAAAAAGGACGCCCAGAUUCUCUAUAAUGCUGGUGAGAAGAAAUGGGGCACAGAUGAAGAUAAAUUCACCGAGAUCCUGUGUUUAAGGAGCUUUCCUCAGCUGAAACUAACAUUUGAUGAAUAUAAAAAUAUCAGCCAGAAGGACAUCGAGGACAGCAUAAAAGGAGAAUUAUCUGGGCAUUUUGAAGACUUACUGCUGGCCAUAGUUCAUUGUGUGAGGAACACGCCUGCCUUUUUGGCUGACAGACUGCAUCAAGCUUUGAAGGGUGCUGGAACUGAUGAAUUUACUCUGAACAGAAUAAUGGUUUCCAGAUCAGAAAUUGACCUUUUGGACAUUCGAGCAGAGUUCAAAAAGCAUUAUGGCUGUUCCCUAUAUUCAGCAAUUAAACACAGAUCUACUUUGACACACGUGGGAUCACCGCAAGUUGGAGCUGACUCAGUGGAAAACAGAAAAGGCCAAUGAAGACUGAGACACUUAUAGACCAUAACAACUCUGGGAGGUCUUCCUGCUUUUCAGCCAGUUUCUCAAUGUUGUAUUCAAGAUGGUCCUCUUUAAACCUCUUUCCGAAGAAAUAGAAGUGGUGGAACAGUGAUUAAGAACUAUGUAUGACUGCUAACCAGAAGUAAUGAAGAGCACAUCACCUGGUCUGGAUCCAACUAGACAAGGGCCUGGACCUCAACAGAGAAGACACUGAACCCAACUAACAUAGUUAAGCUGCUCGACGUUCCUGAGCAAGCUUCAGAGUCUCCUCUGACCUCCAUCUUGGUUUUUUUCUUUCUCUCCUGUGGUCCGUGAUAAAAAAAAUGUCAGAGAUUGAAUGAUAGAAUUUUGCAAGACCAACGACUUCUUCAUUGCAAAUACCUUCUUUCGCCAACAUAAACGGCAACUAUACACGUGGACCUCACCAGAAAGAACACACAGGAAUCAAACUGACUACAUCUGUGGAAAGAGACAAUGGAAAACUCAAUAUCAUCAGUCAGAGCAAGGCCAGGGGCCUGACUGUGGAACAGACCAUCAAUAAAGCCAUACGCAUACAUAAUAUACCAAUCAGACCCCGGGUUUGCUUCCCUCCCAUGUGGCCAUGUGCCCAGAAGAGAUCCAUCUCAGUUCCAGAA
Molecule: RNA transcript, 1803 nt
Organism: Loxodonta africana (African savanna elephant)
Lineage: Eukaryota; Metazoa; Chordata; Mammalia; Proboscidea; Elephantidae
Gene: ANXA3
Gene name: annexin A3
Exons: 18
Source: RefSeq, a predicted model, not a curated record